RNAcentral lists this ribosomal RNA (1136 nucleotides) under human gut metagenome. Its description in RNAcentral is "bacterial LSU rRNA". It matches the Rfam family "Bacterial large subunit ribosomal RNA", at positions 828 to 1980 of the family's 2925-position model. The record is from RNAcentral.
UCCAAUCGAACCCGGAGAUAGCUGGUUCUCCUCGAAAUAGCUUUAGGGCUAGCCUCAUGGAUCAUUGAUGGGGGUAGAGCACUGAAUGUGCGCGGGGGCCACAAAGCCUACCAAACGCUAUCAAACUUCGAAUACCAUACAAUGCAGACCAUGGGAGUCAGUCCGCGAGAGAUAAGUUCCGCGGGCAAAAGGGGAACACCCCAGAUCAACCGCUAAGGUCCCCAAGUUCACGUUAAGUGGAGAAGGAUGUGGAAUUGCACAGACAACCAGGAUGUUGGCUCAGAAGCAGCCACACAUUUAAAGAGUGCGUAAUAGCUCACUGGUCGAGUGAUUGUGCGCCGAAGAUGUCCGGGGCUAAACGUGACACCGAAGCGAUGGGUGCGUCUGAAGAAGAUGCGCGGUAGAGGAGCAAUGUGCAGAGGCAGAAGCCGUAUCGAGAGGCACGGUGGACACUGCACAAGAGAGAAUGCCGGUAUGAGUAGCGAGAGGCAUGCGAGAAACAUGCCCGUCGAAAGCCCAAGGUUUCCUGGGGAAGGUUCAUCCGCCCAGGGUAAGUCGGGGCCUAAGCCGAGGACGGAAGUCGUAGGCGAUGGACAGCAGGUGUAGAUUCCUGCACUACCGAUGGAAUGAAGCAGUGACACAGAAGGAUAACUCGAGCAGGGUGAUGGUCAACCCUGUGCAAGCAUCAAGGUUGGGUUGUAGUGAAGUACGCAACCCUAUAAGCUGAGAUGUGAUGCGGACCGAAAUUUCAGUAGGGAAGCGAGUGAGUUCACGCUGGCGAGAAAAGCUGCUAGUACAUCCAAAGGUACCCGUACCGGAAACCGACGCAGGUGGGCGAGGAGAGAAUCCUGAGACGAACGGGAGAACCCUUGUUAAGGAACUCGGCAAAAUGACCCCGUAACUUCGGGAUAAGGGGUGCCUGCGAGAGCAGGCCGCAGAGAAUAGUCACAAGCGACUGUUUAGCAAAAACACAGGUAUCUGCGAAAGCGAGAGCUGACGUAUAGGUGCUGACACCUGCCCGGUGCUGGAAGGUUAAGGGAACAUGUUAGAGCAAUCGAAGCAUCGAACCGAAGCCCCAGUAAACGGCGGCCGUAACUAUAACGGUCCUAAGGUAGCGAAAUUCCUUGUCGGGUAAG